GGGUUCCUCGGCGUUGGCCCCGCCCAAGGGAGUGGAGGGGCAGGCUUAGGAAGGUUCCCGCGCGCUUGGAAGGGGCGGAGAGAGGUGGGCGUGGGAAGGUAAGAGCCGAAAGCCGUCUUUUGCAUUUGCUCUGGAAAAUCAAUUUGUCCUUGUAGGGUCCGUGCUGGCCAAAUGGUGAAUGUGCUGAAACAAAAUUUACCGUUCAACGGUCCCAAAACUAUUUAGAGGGAAAAGAAGUUUAAACAAAUACACUUCCAAACGUUGUAACAAGUUUGCAUCAUUCAUAUGCAUGAAGUUAUCAAAACUUUUAUUGCUUCCUCCCCAGAUGAGUGUUGGGAUCCGAAAAAAUGCAGGCACUCCUUCCUCCCCAUCGCCUCCCUCCCGCUCUUUGCCGAGGACCUGCUAGGGAGUCGGCGCUCUUGCAUAACUACUGCACACUGCCUAGGUGGAUAGGGAUGUCCUGGGUCCGAAGUAAUCACAGCGACUGGCAGGUUUCUCCUGCCUGGCCGAUAAAUGAAGAACUCAGAGCCUGAACCCAAGUUCAAAACAAGAUGCCAGAAGAAAAGAUCAAAGAGCUUAGAACAGAAUUCCAGCAAAAUUGAACACAGGAACACUGGUCGUCAAGUUACUCAUAAAUUUCAGGACCUCUUCCACUGCAUCUACUGGCAGAUAGAGGGCCAUGCCCACCAUCAUCUCUACCAGUGCCACCUCUAUGCGAAGGAGUUGUUCCUCCUCUUCCACUUCCUUUACCGGGAAUAAAUGGUAAACCAUCAUCACCACCACAAUCAUUUUUGUUCAAGGCCCUCCUCCUCCAUCACUACCUUUGUUGGGGGACCUUUCGCUCCAGGAUCAUCACUUGCUCUAACUUAAAGAAUGAAGCAGAAAUAAAUGUAUAAAACUAAACCUCA
RNAcentral lists this long non-coding RNA (908 nucleotides) under Vulpes vulpes (red fox). Its description in RNAcentral is "lncRNA (ENSVVUG00000018594.1)". Lineage: Eukaryota; Metazoa; Chordata; Mammalia; Carnivora; Canidae. The record is from RNAcentral.